RNAcentral lists this ribosomal RNA (496 nucleotides) under uncultured bacterium. Its description in RNAcentral is "partial 16S ribosomal RNA". It matches the Rfam family "Bacterial small subunit ribosomal RNA", at positions 29 to 507 of the family's 1533-position model. The record is from RNAcentral.
AUGAACGCUGGCGGCGUGCCUAAUACAUGCAAGUCGAGCGAACAGACGAGGAGCUUGCUCCUCUGACGUUAGCGGCGGACGGGUGAGUAACACGUGGAUAACCUACCUAUAAGACUGGGAUAACUUCGGGAAACCGGAGCUAAUACCGGAUAAUAUAUUGAACCGCAUGGUUCAAUAGUGAAAGACGGUUUUGCUGUCACUUAUAGAUGGAUCCGCGCCGCAUUAGCUAGUUGGUAAGGUAACGGCUUACCAAGGCAACGAUGCGUAGCCGACCUGAGAGGGUGAUCGGCCACACUGGAACUGAGACAAGGUCCAGACUCCUACGGGAGGCAGCAGUAGGGAAUCUUCCGCAAUGGGCGAAAGCCUGACGGAGCAACGCCGCGUGAGUGAUGAAGGUCUUCGGAUCGUAAAACUCUGUUAUUAGGGAAGAACAAAUGUGUAAGUAACUAUGCAAGUCUUGACGGUACCUAAUCAGAAAGCCACGGCUAACUACGUG